This 497-nucleotide ribosomal RNA is filed under the name uncultured bacterium. RNAcentral's name for it is "partial 16S ribosomal RNA". It matches the Rfam family "Bacterial small subunit ribosomal RNA", at positions 28 to 507 of the family's 1533-position model. The record is from RNAcentral.
GAUGAACGCUGGCGGCGUGCCUAAUACAUGCCAGUCGAGCGAACGGACGAGAAGCUUGCUUCUCUGAUGUUAGCGGCGGACGGGUGAGUAACACGUGGAUAACCUACCUAUAAGACUGGGAUAACUUCGGGAAACCGGAGCUAAUACCGGAUAAUAUUUCGAACCGCAUGGUUCAAAAGUGAAAGACGGUCUUGCUGUCACUUAUAGAUGGAUCCGCGCUGCAUUAGCUAGUUGGUAAGGUAACGGCUUACCAAGGCAACGAUGCAUAGCCGACCUGAGAGGGUGAUCGGCCACACUGGAACUGAGACACGGUCCAGACUCCUACGGGAGGCAGCAGUAGGGAAUCUUCCGCAAUGGGCGAAAGCCUGACGGAGCAACGCCGCGUGAGUGAUGAAGGUCUUCGGAUCGUAAAACUCUGUUAUUAGGGAAGAACAUAUGUGUAAGUAACUGUGCACAUCUUGACGGUACCUAAUCAGAAAGCCACGGCUAACUACGUG